Molecule: ribosomal RNA, 447 nt
Filed under: uncultured bacterium
Lineage: Bacteria
Description: bacterial SSU rRNA
Rfam family: Bacterial small subunit ribosomal RNA
Source: RNAcentral
UACCAGACUCCUACGGGAGGCAGCAGUGGGGAAUAUUGCACAAUGGGGGAAACCCUGAUGCAGCGACGCCGCGUGAGCGAUGAAGUAUUUCGGUAUGUAAAGCUCUAUCAGCAGGGAAGAAGAUGACGGUACCUGACUAAGAAGCCCCGGCUAACUACGUGCCAGCAGCCGCGGUAAUACGUAGGGGGCAAGCGUUAUCCGGAUUUACUGGGUGUAAAGGGAGCGUAGACGGCGAUGCGAGCCAGAUGUGAAAGCCCGGGGCUCAACCCCGGGACUGCAUUUGGAACUGUGUGGCUGGAGUGUCGGAGAGGCAGGCGGAAUUCCUAGUGUAGCGGUGAAAUGCGUAGAUAUUAGGAGGAACACCAGUGGCGAAGGCGGCCUGCUGGACGAUGACUGACGUUGAGGCUCGAAAGCGUGGGGAGCAAACAGGAUUAGAUACCCUUGUAC